GAACCGAGUUGACCUGGGACGGAGUUGAGCUGGGACCAAGUUGAGCUGGGACCGAGUUGAGCUGGGACUGAGUUGAGCUGGGGCCCAGUUGACCUGGGACUGAGUUGAUCUAGGAACGCGUUGACCUGGGACCGAGUUGACCUGGGACCGAGUUGAUCUAGGAACGAGUUGACCUGGGACCGAGUUGAGCUGGGACCGAGUUGAGCUGGGACCGAGUUGACCUGGGACCGAGUUGAGCUGGGACCGAGUUGACCUGGGACCGAGUUGACCUGGGACCGAGUUGACCUGGGACCAAAUUGGUUGGGGACCAAGCCGUAGCCUCUGUUGUCUAACAGGAAUCAAGAGUCGUAAACCAGGCUCCACAUCAGUCAUCCUGGCUGGAAGUUGUAUGAGGCUAUGGAGAAGACAAUUGGAGAAGAGGCUUGUUGUAUGACACAAGUAAUGGUGAAGCCAUCAUCAGUCUCCAGCAGCUCAUUCUCAGGUCCUUGGAAAUAACUCCAAGCCGUUGACAGAUUCUGUUGAUCUUUGCAGUGACCAUGAGAUCUUCAUUGAUGGUUUAAGAAAUCCACCACAAUGUUACUUGCAUGGUUGUCACACUCCUUAAAUUUUUGGUAUUUUUGGCAAAUUAAGAAAAAAUAUCAGAGGGAAUGAAAUUGGGUACUAUUAACAGCAAAUGAGGCUAACCUCGCAAAGGCAAGUUAACAGGCAUAUCUGAAGGCAGACAACAUUAAUGUUUACAUUUGAGGAACUAUAAGGACUGACAUUACACAGCUUCAAGGGCUGAGGUUUGGGGGGAUGACAUAUGUCCCACUUUUAGAGGGGGGGGGAUCCCCCAGAUUUUUGUUUUACAAAAAGGAGACAAAAAGAGGAAAAAUAAAGUAAGAGGUCAGUAGCCAUUACGAAAAUGUAUCAUCCUCAUUCCCCCCCCCCCCACUUGUAGAUUCGAAUCUGCAACCUUGCACACCUGUCUUCAAAGUUCGACGUAAUGCAACCAUAGAGCAAGGACCUAGGCCUGUUCACUAACAGUUGGGGUACAAGUUACAACUCUAAUUCUACAGCAACAGUUAUAUAACGAGUGGUCAUCUUUAAGUUUGUGGUCCACUUUACUCCUAUCCCUGUUACCUCUGAUAAGUGAUUUCAUUUGUAAAUUCUAGAUGCCCACUUUUCCAGGAGUGAUUCUAUAAAGCAAACAACAUGCCCAACAAGUAAAUGACAGUCAUGGUUAAUGCAGAGAUGUGACUUUUCAGGUUUUAACCUGAAUUCAGGGUGGUUUUUUUGUUCCAAAACAUCCAGAACACACGUUUUUAAAGGGGGUAAGGGUAGUUUCGGGUUUUUUUAGAAGUGUUUCAGACUUUCUAUUGAUAUAUUGGUGGCAUCUCUGUUAAUGACACUUGAAUGGCAAAAAAAUGUGCAUUUAAACAGUUUACAACAUGCACCUCUCUUUGUUAUCUGUUCAGCCGUCUGUUUUGUCUCGAUUUGUAUUUUGCGUAAUUGCAUGUUCUCUCAAAUGUAUUUCAUGAAUAAAUGUUAUUAAUUGAAUAAAAUACCUUUAACUUAAAAGUGGAGUAAACCA
RNAcentral lists this long non-coding RNA (1573 nucleotides) under Patiria miniata (bat star). RNAcentral's name for it is "uncharacterized LOC119738470". The record is from RNAcentral. Lineage: Eukaryota; Metazoa; Echinodermata; Asteroidea; Valvatida; Asterinidae.